CAGCCGCCGCGGUAAUACCGGCGACUCGAGUGGUGGCCGCUUUUAUUGGGCUUAAAGCGUUCGUAGCUGGGUUGUUAAGUCUCUUGGGAAAUCUGGCGGCUUAACCGUCAGGCGUCUAAGGGAUACUGGCAAUCUUGGAACCGGGAGAGGUGAGGGGUACUUCGGGGGUAGGAGUAAAAUCCUGUAAUCCUCGAGGGACCACCUGUGGCGAAGGCGCCUCACCAGAACGGCUUCGACAGUGAGGGACGAAAGCUGGGGGAGCAAACCGGAUUAGAUACCCGGGUAGUCCCAGCCGUAAACUAUGCGCGUUAGGUGUAUCGGUGACCACGAGUUACCGAGGUGCCGAAGGGAAACCGUGAAACGUGCCGCCUGGGAAGUACGGUCGCAAGGCUGAAACUUAAAGGAAUUGGCGGG
This 414-nucleotide ribosomal RNA is filed under the name uncultured archaeon. RNAcentral's name for it is "bacterial SSU rRNA". It matches the Rfam family "Archaeal small subunit ribosomal RNA", at positions 459 to 872 of the family's 1478-position model. The record is from RNAcentral.